Triticum aestivum (bread wheat) is the source of this 701-nucleotide long non-coding RNA. RefSeq lists it as uncharacterized. The transcript has 2 exons. Lineage: Eukaryota; Viridiplantae; Streptophyta; Magnoliopsida; Poales; Poaceae. The record is from RefSeq and is a predicted model, not a curated record.
UCUUCCCACCCCAAACCAACCGGCUUCUCCAUCUGCUAUUUCGUUUCGUUUUGGUUCUUUGGUUCUGCUAUUUUGAUGUUUCUCUUGCGAUCGCUGGUUUGUUUUUCUUGAACCGAAUGUUCUCCUUUGUGUUUCUUUGAUGAUGCGCCGGUGAAGGCAAGAGGAGCGUUGCAUGCGUGCGUCCGUGCGUGCAGGAUUUAUUUGGCCGCAGAUCGUAGCUCGAGUGCCGAUCGAGGCAGGUUUUCUUUGCUCUUGGACUACGUUUUGUUCUCUUGGAACCUCUCUUCAGAUCAGACAGGGGCCUUGUGCGGCUGAUCGAUGAGCACUUGGUGCAAGAUCUGCAGGUGUGCUACGCACAAGUGACAGCAAUACACAUUUCACAAUCUGAGGCGCCGUCGUUUAUCAACAUGUUCGUUUCUUUCUUUUGGAUCAAGUGAUAGCAAGACGGCGGGCGUGGAGAUGAGGUCCAAGAACAGGUUCAUCUGCACGUCCGCGCGGCUCACGUUCCAGAUCUGUGUACGUUCCCCCGCUUAGUCGCUGUUGCUCUUGGGGUUUUUCCGUACCCGAGGCUCUUCUGUUACGUUUCGUUUCGUUCGGAAUGGUCUCGAUCGGUGUGUUUCUUCCGACCAUACAUCCGCCGAUGACGACGCAUAUAUUUGCAGAUGUGCUGCGCACAAGUGAUAGCAAUUCAUUAAUUUCUU